AUUGAACGCUGGCGGCAGGCCUAACACAUGCAAGUCGAGCGGAUGAAGGGAGCUUGCUCCUGGAUUCAGCGGCGGACGGGUGAGUAAUGCCUAGGAAUCUGCCUGGUAGUGGGGGAUAACGUCCGGAAACGGGCGCUAAUACCGCAUACGUCCUGAGGGAGAAAGUGGGGGAUCUUCGGACCUCACGCUAUCAGAUGAGCCUAGGUCGGAUUAGCUAGUUGGUGGGGUAAAGACCUACCAAGGCGACGAUCCGUAACUGGUCUGAGAGGAUGAUCAGUCACACUGGAACUGAGACACGGUCAAGACUACUAAGGGAGGCAGCAGUGGGGAAUAUUAGACAAUGGGAGAAAGCCUGAUCCAGCCAUGCCGCGUGUGUGAAGAAGGUCUUCGGAUUGUAAAGCACUUUAAGUUGGGAGAAAGGGCAGUAAGUUAAUACCUUGCUGUUUUGACGUUACCAACAGAAUAAGCACCGGCUAACUUCGUG
Molecule: ribosomal RNA, 484 nt
Filed under: uncultured bacterium
Lineage: Bacteria
Description: partial 16S ribosomal RNA
Rfam family: Bacterial small subunit ribosomal RNA
Source: RNAcentral